RNAcentral lists this ribosomal RNA (440 nucleotides) under uncultured bacterium. Its description in RNAcentral is "partial 16S ribosomal RNA". It matches the Rfam family "Bacterial small subunit ribosomal RNA", at positions 338 to 795 of the family's 1533-position model. The record is from RNAcentral.
CCUACGGGUGGCUGCAGUAGGGAAUUUUGCACAAUGGGCGAAAGCCUGACGCAGCAACACCGCGUGAAUGUUAAGCCCUUCGGGGUGUAAAGUUCUGUCAAUAGGGACGAAAGUUGACUGUACCUAUAAAGGAAGCACCUGCUAACUACGUGCCAGCAGCCGCGGUAAUACGUAGGGGGCAAGCGUUAUCCGGAUUUACUGGGUGUAAAGGGAGCGUAGACGGCCGGGCAAGUCUGGAGUGAAAGGCGGGGGCUCAACCCCCGGACUGCUCUGGAAAAUGCCAGGCUGGAGUGCAGGAGAGGUAAGUGGAAUUCCUAGUGGAGCGGUGAAAUGCGUAGAUAUUAGGAGGACCACCAGUGGCGAAGGCGGCUUACUGGACUGUACCUGACGUUGAGGCUCGAAAUCGUGGGGAGCAAACAGGAUUAGAUACCCUGGUAGUC